CUUGAUCGAGGAGAGCAGCAGCGGCGUGCCGGCGCGCUCCUGCCCAUACGUGGCCAGCAGCGCCUGCGCCUC
This 72-nucleotide antisense RNA is filed under the name Micromonospora sediminicola. RNAcentral describes it as "ASpks TB sRNA". It matches the Rfam family "ASpks TB sRNA". Lineage: Bacteria; Bacillati; Actinomycetota; Actinomycetes; Micromonosporales; Micromonosporaceae. The record is from RNAcentral.